CUACUUUUUCGUGGGGGAUAACGUAGGGAAACUUACGCUAAUACCGCAUACGACCUACGGGUGAAAGCCGGGGACCUUCGGGCCUGGCGCGGAUAAAUGAGCCGAUGUCCGAUUAGCUAGUUGGCGGGGUAAGAGCCCACCAAGGCGACGAUCGGUAGCUGGUCUGAGAGGAUGAUCAGCCACACUGGAACUGAGACACGGUCCAGACUCCUACGGGAGGCAGCAGUGGGGAAUAUUGGACAAUGGGCGCAAGCCUGAUCCAGCCAUACCGCGUGGGUGAAGAAGGCCUUCGGGUUGUAAAGCCCUUUUGUUGGGAAAGAAAAGCAGCCAGUUAAUACCUGGUUGUUCUGACGGUACCCAAAGAAUAAGCACCGGCUAACUUCGUGCCAGCAGCCGCGGUAAUACGAAGGGUGCAAGCGUUACUCGGAAUUACUGGGCGUAAAGCGUGCGUAGGUGGUUGUUUAAGUCUGUCGUGAAAGCCCUGGGCUCAACCUGGGAAUUGCGAUGGAAACUGGGCAACUAGAGUGUGGCAGAGGAUAGUGGAAUUCCUGGUGUAGCAGUGAAAUGCGUAGAGAUCAGGAGGAACAUCCGUGGCGAAGGCGACUGUCUGGGCCAACACUGACACUGAGGCACGAAAGCGUGGGGGAGCAAACAGGAUUAGAUACCCUGGUAGUCCACGCCCUAAACGAUGCGAACUGGA
Molecule: ribosomal RNA, 700 nt
Filed under: Stenotrophomonas sp. AR-319
Lineage: Bacteria; Pseudomonadati; Pseudomonadota; Gammaproteobacteria; Lysobacterales; Lysobacteraceae
Description: bacterial SSU rRNA
Rfam family: Bacterial small subunit ribosomal RNA
Source: RNAcentral